This is a long non-coding RNA of Capra hircus (goat), 1010 nucleotides long. RefSeq lists it as uncharacterized. The transcript has 4 exons. Lineage: Eukaryota; Metazoa; Chordata; Mammalia; Artiodactyla; Bovidae. The record is from RefSeq and is a predicted model, not a curated record.
CCUGCAGGCUUUCCUUGGUGGAUCUGAACUCACAUGCUCUCCAGCCCAUAGCCGAAGCUGCAGCUCUCAAAGGCACCAGGCUCAGGAGGAGAGGCCAGGAAUUUGGGAAGAAUUGAGCUGGGCAGUUUUCUGUUCCACGUGGCGUUGACUUGGACCCUUCGUGUUAGCAAUGGAAACCACCAAUAUGCCAGAAGAGCCUAGUUUGAGAAUCCCUAUGGAAAGCAACAUUCCCGUGUGUCUUCCCUAAUUAACAGAAAACUUACAGGAUGCAUAACACUCUUCAGUGAUCACUGAAAGAAUGGGAAUUUGAGAAAAUAAUCUUUUGCUGUCUGACUUCUCCAUCCAUUUCUUCAUUUAUUCAACACAAUUGAUCUGGAACCUUCAGCAAUGUUUACAUCAAUGUUCUGACAGAAAGCAUGACAAGUGUCCACUCUAAGAUCCCCAUGAAUGGAGGAAACAGAUAUAUGUUCAAAAAUUAGUGGGAUAAGAGCUAUAGUCAAGACAUCCUUAUGGUAUGACGGAGAUCAAGAAAAAAGUUGUUAAUAGCCUGGGAUGGUCAUGGAAGGCUUCCUGGAGAAGGUGAUUGAUGACUGAGCUUAUCUUGAUGGGAUGAAGCAAAAGGGGGUCAGCUUGGAGCCAAGUAAGAAAAAGAUGCUCCCUCUCUGACUUUAGACAUACCUCCGCAGUGAGUGUGCCACAUUUCAAAAAUGAGAACUGAUGAAGCAGGAAGAAAAGGCAGAUUGGAAUCUGAAUGCAUUAGUGGCGGUCUCUUGUGAGAGUUGGCUGGAAAGCGCUCAGGGCAUCCUGCAUAGGGCUGUCUGCCGAAUUGACUUGGCUUGUGUCCUUUCCCUUCCCAGCUCCGCUCCUUUCAUAUGUCCUAAUAGGUUAUGGCUUCCAGGAGGAAAUAUGCUAUGCAUUUUCAGAGAGGCAUUUUGGAAACGCAAAGCCUGACAUCAAAGGAGUAGCUUGUUCUUUCUAGAAAAAAAAAAAAAAAGGAAAAUUUUGCUAUA